UUUUAAGAUUCUCUCAAAAGCUAGAAACUACCAUCCCUAAGGCCUAAAUAUUUUAAUAGUUUGUCCCUAUCCUAUCGAACCAAAUCAACCCAAGAUCCCUACUCCCUCUCCCAAUACGAAAAAUGAAGGGAAUGAAAUUACUUGCAUGGUUUUUGUUCAUCUCAUGCUCUCAUGCCCUAUCAAGCUUGGCUCUCAAAGGCUUCUUCAAGUUAGAAUAUGAACAAAAAGGUGCUAAACUCUCAAGGCCUAUUGGACAAGGACAAGACUUUCAUGGUGUGGACGGCGCGGUCAAACUGUGUGGAGAAAAACAUGAAAUGGAUGAGCCAAGGAAGAUCCAAAAAGGGAAAGGGGGAGUUUAUGGGGGUGCAAAUAUUGCUCAUAAGCCACGCCCAACUGAGAGAAGUAGUGCACCAUCAUUGCUAGCAAAGCCCCAACGGCUUUUUCUCUUCACUAAAACCAGGUUGCAAGUAACCUUUGCUUUGAUUCUUAUUCUUCUCUUUCAAUUGCUCUAAUAAGUUUCCGAUCGAUCGGAAAUUUGUAUUGAAUAUGAAGCUUUGGUCUGUCAAUUGUGCGUUCUUCUCCCUUUUUCUUUGGUGUUUUACCUCUUGAUGUCUGAUUUUAAGCUUUCCCUUUGAGUGUCCUUGGAAGAUCCUUUGAUUCCUAGUCUUUUUAUAGGAUUAUGACACCCUUACUUAUAAUUAAGAUUGUAAUUUGAUGAGUGUUGAUUUUUUUUGUUGGUAAGUUUUCAGAAAUUGCUUGUGAGCUUGUACCAGGAUUAUUGUGCUAUUCUUGUACUUUCUCUUACUAAAUUGGUUGUGCAUGUGGUGUGAUUUAUGUUUAUGUACUCUCUCUCUCUCUCUCUCUCUCAGAAUAAUGGGCAAUUAUAAACAGGACUUCAACACAUUUCCUUGUUGCAGAAUUAUCAUCUUCCACCAUUUGGAAAGAAAUGAGCUUCUCAAAGAUAAACCAAAGAAUCAAAAAGAUGUUGGAGGAUCAAUAGCCUGAAACAUAAGUGUGUUAUGAGGUGUAUAUUAUUAUAACAAGAUGACACUGUUGGUUUUUGCAAGGCAUUGCAAACAUGGUUGAGUUAAAAUUAGUCCCACAUUGGAAAAUUAGAGUUUCUCGGGUCUUUAUAAGACGUACUCUUGGAAUAGAAUAGUUUGGAUUCAGCUAUGCAAGUGGCCCAAUUAAGUGGCUUAUGGAUUU
Molecule: long non-coding RNA, 1206 nt
Organism: Prunus persica (peach)
Lineage: Eukaryota; Viridiplantae; Streptophyta; Magnoliopsida; Rosales; Rosaceae
Exons: 2
Source: RefSeq, a predicted model, not a curated record